RNAcentral lists this ribosomal RNA (369 nucleotides) under uncultured Glomeromycotina. RNAcentral describes it as "LSU rRNA". Lineage: Eukaryota; Fungi; Glomeromycota. The record is from RNAcentral.
UUGAAAGGGAAACGAUUGAAGUCAGUCGUGCUGGCGCGAAAUCAACCUUCUCGUCUUGAGAUCACAUGGCGUGGCGAGCCUCAAAACCGUCACGAAGCGUGAACUCUUGGUGAAAUGGAGCACUUUCGUGUCCGCUGGUUAACAUCAAUUUCGAACGUCAUAAAAAGGCUGGAGGGAUGUGGCUCCUUCGGGAGUGUUAUAACCUUUAGCGGAAUGUGGUGUUCGGGAUUGAGGAUUGCAACGAAUACCUUUAGGGCUGUUCCACCUGGCUUCUCUUUGGUAUCCUGGUGACGACAGUUUGCUGACGUCGUUAGGAUUCGCCUUUGAACAGGCUAGAGUGUGAGCAAAUUCGUUAAGGAUGUUGACGUA